RNAcentral lists this ribosomal RNA (1346 nucleotides) under uncultured bacterium. RNAcentral describes it as "bacterial SSU rRNA". It matches the Rfam family "Bacterial small subunit ribosomal RNA", at positions 28 to 1381 of the family's 1533-position model. The record is from RNAcentral.
GACGAACGCUGGCGGCGUGCUUAACACGUGCAAGUCGAACGGAAAGGCCCUGCUUUUGUGGGGUGCUCGAGUGGCGAACGGGUGAGUAACACGUGAGUAACCUGCCCUUGACUUUGGGAUAACUUCAGGAAACUGGGGCUAAUACCGGAUAGGAGCUCCUGCUGCAUGGUGGGGGUUGGAAAGUUUCGGCGGUUGGGGAUGGACUCGCGGCUUAUCAGCUUGUUGGUGGGGUAGUGGCUUACCAAGGCUUUGACGGGUAGCCGGCCUGAGAGGGUGACCGGCCACAUUGGGACUGAGAUACGGCCCAGACUCCUACGGGAGGCAGCAGUGGGGAAUAUUGCACAAUGGGCGGAAGCCUGAUGCAGCAACGCCGCGUGCGGGAUGACGGCCUUCGGGUUGUAAACCGCUUUCGCCUGUGACGAAGCGUGAGUGACGGUAAUGGGUAAAGAAGCACCGGCUAACUACGUGCCAGCAGCCGCGGUGAUACGUAGGGUGCGAGCGUUGUCCGGAUUUAUUGGGCGUAAAGGGCUCGUAGGUGGUUGAUCGCGUCGGAAGUGUAAUCUUGGGGCUUAACCCUGAGCGUGCUUUCGAUACGGGUUGACUUGAGGAAGGUAGGGGAGAAUGGAAUUCCUGGUGGAGCGGUGGAAUGCGCAGAUAUCAGGAGGAACACCAGUGGCGAAGGCGGUUCUCUGGGCCUUUCCUGACGCUGAGGAGCGAAAGCGUGGGGAGCGAACAGGCUUAGAUACCCUGGUAGUCCACGCUGUAAACGGUGGGUACUAGGUGUGGGGUCCAUUCCACGGGUUCCGUGCCGUAGCUAACGCUUUAAGUACCCCGCCUGGGGAGUACGGCCGCAAGGCUAAAACUCAAAGGAAUUGACGGGGCCCCGCACAAGCGGCGGAGCAUGCGGAUUAAUUCGAUGCAACGCGUAGAACCUUACCUGGGUUUGACAUGGAUCGGGAGUGCUCAGAGAUGGGUGUGCCUCUUUUGGGGUCGGUUCACAGGUGGUGCAUGCCAGUCGUCAGCUCGUGUCGUGAGAUGUUGGGUUAAGUCCCGCAACGAGCGCAACCCUUGUUCACUGUUGCCAGCACGUUAUGGUGGGGACUCAGUGGAGACCGCCGGGGUCAACUCGGAGGAAGGUGGGGAUGACGUCAAGUCCUCAUGCCCCUUAUGUCCAGGGCUUCACGCAUGCUACAAUGGCUGGUUCAGAGAGUGGCGAGCCUGUGAGGGUGAGCGAAUCUCGGAAAGCCGGUCUCAGUUCGGAUUGGGGUCUGCAACUCGACCUCAUGAAGUCGGAGUCGCUAGUAAUCGCAGAUCAGCAACGCUGCGGUGAAUACGUUCCCGGGGCC